UGCACACCUGCCAAUACAGUGUUCCCAGGCUGCCGGAUGUCUCGGGCCCAUCUCCUCAGAGCCGUGACCAGGACCAGGGAGGAAAACGGAGCCCUGUGUACCCCUAAUAGCUCAAAGAUAAGAAAGAAGGGGUGUCGUGGUAAGAACAAUAGGGAGAAUAUUAGAGCAGGUCCUGUUCAUCCUAAUGAAGAUGCAUCGUUGGCACUUGCCUCCCGCAUGGCUGGGAAAGAGCAGUGCAACCAAAAGGCCCCAUCCAGAUGGAGGAGCUCAGUAGAACAUCUGCCUUGCAUGUCUGUCACCUCCCUACCUCCUGCUGCUGUGUUAGCUGCCAGCCAUUAUAGCAGCUCCUGAGUCAAGGGCCCUCCUCUUGUAGUGCUUUCUUGGAGCUUUGACAGAUUAUCUGCACUGUCAUUCCCAACAGCAUUGUGCCAUCUUUCUUAAAACUGCAGGAAGAUCCUGAUGGAAAUCUCAGUCCUUUAAAAAAAAAAAAAACCCUCCAAAAUAGAUUCCAUUAAACUAUAGUUAUGCCUGCAAAUUUUAUAUCAACUGGCAUUAGGCAGUUAGUUCACUGUAUCAACUACAUGGAUGGCCUAUAGCGUCCAUGUGACACUGAAGAAACGAGAGAGCUGUGGAAAAUGCAUUCACCCCCUCCAUGUCCUCUACCACCAAUCUAAGUCCAAACCAGCCUCAUCUCCUGCCCAGAUUAUUACAGUAGCUGCCUAAUUGAUCUGGUCCAACCAUCUUAGUUAGUCCAAAUCAUCACUUGCCUGAGCAUUACUAAGUAGCCUCCUAACUAGCAUGUUUCCACUCUAGCUCUCCUUAACCCAGUUGAUUUUCCACAUUUGGGCACGUGAAAUAACAUUUUUGAAACCAAAUUCUGAACAUCUGAAUUUUGAUGAAAACCUUUCUAUGGCUUCCUAAAGCUAUUAGAAGAUUAUUUACUACUGAUAAAUCAAGAUUGCUAUUGGCACCCUGAAGGCAAUGCAUGAUCUAUCCUUUGCCUAGCUUUUAUCUAAAAACAUCAUUUUCCUUGUUCCCCAUACUUUAGUCGUACCAGCCAUUUAUCUGUUCUGCCAACAUGCUAUGGUCCUUUCUGCCCUAGGGAUAUUGUAAUACUAUUGUUUCAGACUGGAAAUCCUUCCCCAUCUCAUUACACUUCACCUACUAGACCAUCACUUUUCAUAAUUCCAAUUUAAACACCACUUCCUCAGAGAUUCCCUGUGCUCCAUCACCCACUAAUCCUUUCUAUAGUUUCCUUUCCUCUACUUUUGAAGCUCUUAUAGUUUGUAAUUACAUAUCACCAUGAUUAUUUUAUUAAAUACCUAUCUCCCUCCACUAGGCUGUGUUUACCGAGAAGCCAGAAACUUUGCUUUUCUCACUUCUUGAAUCCAGCAUUUUCUGGUUUCAAGCUAGUGUUCAUUAUACUGCUUUCUGAACAGAUUUGUCAAAGAACAAAUAACCAUUUAAAUCUAAAUGACUCUCAAUAUAAACACUGCCUGUAUAAGUUUUUCAAACCUAUGCCAUUUGAUGUAUUUUUAUAUAGGAGAAAUUGCAACAUCAGUAUUUUCAAACAUGAGGCUGAGCUAAGAACUGAACUAAGAGCAAACACCCAUAAUACUUGUUGUCAGUAACACUUUGCAAAACCAUAGACUUUUAUCUACAUUCUUCUUCUCAUUGAAGUUUUAUUCCCCCCCCACCAAAAAAAAAAAAAAAAUCAACUGUGGACAUCAGCAUCAAGGUAAAAAUGGAACUGACCUAAUCUUCUGCUUUUGUGAGUUUACCUAAUUUAUUUAGUGAAAAUGAAUGUCAACUCGCUUAAUUCUGUUAAGUCCUGCUUGGGUUUCUUGGUACAAAUUCCAUAUGCUAAGUGCACUAAAAUGGCAAAGCCUUGCUCUAUUAUGACAUCAUCCCUUUCUUUGAAAAAUAAACUGUUUUCAUAAAUACGUUUAAUAACA
This 1955-nucleotide long non-coding RNA is filed under the name Bos indicus x Bos taurus (hybrid cattle). RNAcentral's name for it is "lncRNA (ENSBIXG00005026273.1)". The record is from RNAcentral. Lineage: Eukaryota; Metazoa; Chordata; Mammalia; Artiodactyla; Bovidae.